Molecule: long non-coding RNA, 401 nt
Filed under: Elaeis guineensis (African oil palm)
Lineage: Eukaryota; Viridiplantae; Streptophyta; Magnoliopsida; Arecales; Arecaceae
Description: long non-coding RNA (EGUI_LNC079095)
Source: RNAcentral
CUCUCUCUCUCUCUCUCGAUUGGGAAAGGUAUUUGGGAUCUUCUUUUAAUAUAUUAACUAAACACUUAGCAACAAAAUGAAAGCAAGGAAAAGGGAAAAAAAGAAAGGAAACACAAACGGAUGGAGAAAACCUAUACUCUUCUUCCUCUCAAAAGAUAAUAUAUCAAAAUCAAAAUAUGAUGAAUCAGAUAUUUAUGAUCUCAAUGCAACUAUUCAAUGUUUGUGCUGUUGCUUUUAUUGUCUUUUAAAAAAAGACGUCGCUUGGUAGCGGCAUAGACCUCACAGACGAUCAACUUCAUUUGUCCAAUAUCUUCUGUCUUCUAUCUAUUAUUGGUAAUAUGUUCUUGGUAACAUAUGAUUUGCUCUUUGAUUCAAAUAUUAAAGUUUUGGAUCUCAUGCAC